Molecule: long non-coding RNA, 20282 nt
Filed under: Eucalyptus grandis
Lineage: Eukaryota; Viridiplantae; Streptophyta; Magnoliopsida; Myrtales; Myrtaceae
Description: long non-coding RNA (EGRA_LNC004086)
Source: RNAcentral
GCACAUGGGAGAAAUAUACAGCCGCAUCUCUAUUUGUGUAAAAUGGUAGCUGCCAAGGAAAGAGAACAGUGGUGUGUCUGUCACUAAAACCGUGAAUAAAUAGGGGAAAAACACACCAAACAAGACCAAACCAAAGCCAACGCACGGAGAAAGAGUACAAGAGGGAGGAGAAAAAAAGAACCCCAAAGCAAAGUCAAUACGAACGACCCGGCUAUCCCUCUCUCUCUCUCUCUCUCUCUUCUCUCUCUGUCUGUCUCUGUGUGGACAUACAGCUACGGAAUCGAGACGGGUUUUUCAUCUUUAGCGUCGGUUUUUUCCUCCCCACCCUCACCCCUUCUCUCACUUCUCAUCGCGUGGGCAGUGGAGAGAGUCGUCGCGCUUGGUGACCCAUCUUCGUAAUUCGGUUCUUUCUGGGUCGGCGGCGGGCGCGGAGCUUGUUUCUGCUCGUUUCGGUUCGGUGGAACCAGUAAAGGUAAGACCUUGGGCACGAUCUGUUGAGGGGUCGAUUCGUUGGGGUGGGUUUGUUGUGGUGGAUAGUUUGUUGUGAUGAUGAUCGAGAAUUUGAUGGGUUUGUUGUUGAUUGUGGUGGGGAUUUGGGAGUUUUUCUCGAGAUGGGUUUUUUGGGUUCUUGUUGACUCUGGGUGUGUGUUGAUUGGUAUGUUGCAGAGGUAGAUGGUAGGUGGCAGAGGGCGCCAGUGAGCGGUGGAGGCUGAAUUAUAUGGGCAAUUUAUGCUGCUUCAAGUCUCUGUAUUCUCAGGUGAGUGAAAAGAGAUGCUUGUUGCUGAUCAGCGAUCGACCUCGACUUGAAUUGGUGAAUUGGGAUGAACUUGUUUGGCGCGGGUGUUGCUAUGUCUAUUGAUUGGCUCGAUCUGCGGGAUCUUCAGUACCUUUGUCUGAUGAGAAAGAAGGGAAAUGCCUUCUCGAUAUUUUAGUUACGUAAGCCUUGAUGCUUGUCCAGAUGGCCGGUGAUUGAUGAGUUUCUUUGUUCGUUUUUGUGCUGCCCGCUCUUCAGCUUGUAGGAGGGCGGUCCUCAUGUAGCUCCGGCAAGGGGAGGAGCCAUCAGAGCCCCGUCAAAUAUGGCUUUAGCUUAAUAAAAGGGAAAGCAAAUCAUCCCAUGGAAGAUUACCAUGUUGCGAAAUUUUUUCGGACCCAAGGCCGUGAACUUGGUCUUUUUGCCAUCUUUGAUGGGCAUCUAGGAGAUAGCGUUCCUGCGUACCUACAGAAGCAUCUCUUCCAUAAUAUCCUGAAUGAGGUCAGCUGUUUACUUAAUUAGAAAUAUUUUGCACUACUAACUAUGUUAUCGGUUUCUUAUACUGCUUGAGAUUGAGGGUGUCUAGAGCGACCAUUCAAAUAUUUCAUAAAAGUAGGGGUAUAGCAUUAAGCUAAAGAAAUAAUAUCCUUUUCUUUCGGAGCUUAAUUAUCUAAACAAAUGUUAACCCUCAGAAGGUGCCCAUGACUGUGGUACCGUUUAUUCAUCAGUGAACUUUUGGAAAUUAGAUUUCUCUUUGCUCUCCAUUUUCAUCUUCUUUUGUAUUCUCCCUUUUUAAGGUCCUCCUCUUGUGUAUUUCCAUUGAAAUAUGGUGGCCUGGUAUUACUUUGCCCUUCAAUCAGCCCUGGUGCCAAGAUACUAGCCAUAGAAGCUUGACUAGUUGGCCAGUCUAGUUCACUCAGGUUCUUAUUGACUGUAAGUAGCUAAAGUGUCAAAUUAGUUAUAACUUGGUUUGGGAGGCUUGCAAGCUUAAUAGGGGGUGCAUUCUUUUUUGAACCAUCAGAAGCUGAAAUAUCAUCUUAUACUGGAUUAUCAAUCAGCUUAAAUUUGUCAUGCCAACAAUUUGGCCACUGGUGGAGCCAUCUUUAAAUUCUUGUGUCUUGAGUGGCUCAGUAUAGGUUGCUGGACAAGUCCAGAUUAGCUACAAUGGAAGUACCUCUCAAUAAUAAAGAUAUGACCUUUCACAUGUUGAUUGCCAUGGUGAUAGGGGAACGAGUAGAUCUAAUAAGUUUUCUCAUGAUCCACAUACACUAGUCUUUACAGAUUCAAAUAAUGAUUAAAGUUGUAGUUCUUGCUUAGUCAAGGAUCAAACAAUCAAUUCACUACAGUGCUUGGUCACAAUUUUCAUUAGCCACAUUUAUGUUAGAAUUCUGCAACUUCAUUCUUUUGUGGGAACAGCAGUCCAUUUUGAGCUUUCUAUUGAAGCAGCCGUAAAAAAAGGCGGAAGAGAAAUGAACAAGGCAAUAAGGACUUAGUUUGGUGGUUUAUGUACCUGAAGGCAAGCUUCCUUGUUGUUUUUAAAAAAAAUAAAAAAGCUCCUGUCUGAGCUUAAUGUCAUUAGAGUUUUGAUUAUAAACUUCUUUUUCCGGUAGUCAUGGAAUGAGUUAAGUCCUGCCCUCAAUUCAAAUAUUCUUCAAGUUGAGUAUGCGUGAGAAAUUGAAGCUCCAGGGAGCUUGAGUCAAGUAUUGAGUUUUCCACUUUUUGAGUCAACUUGAGUUUGAGUUCUUAUGUCGACUUGGCUUGGCUCAGUUACCUUAAUUCCAGUGGCAUGCUACCUCCAUUUCUCUGCUUGAGUUUUUCCUUUGUCGUUAACCUCUUCUCAUGUCCGUUGCCUAUGUCAUGUGGAUGCUUCUCUUCAACCAAUUCAACAGUGUCCAACAUGGGACAUUGGAGGGAUCAUACUUACAAUAAAUCUAAGAGUAGGCAAAUGCCACACUUUGUCUGUAUACUGCAACCCGACAGACGUACUAGUCAUAUAAUGUUUUAUUACUGCAUCUCAAUUGGCAUACAGGAAACGCUACCGAGUCUUAACAAUGAGUAGCAACUGUUUAAAUUCUUGUUGCUAACAGCUUUUGUACUCCUUUCACAUUUUGAAUAUCCUGAAGAGGCUAGGUUGAUAUGUUGAAGAGCCUAUGAGGAAAAGGAUAUCGGCAAUAUCCAUUGUGCUUAGUAUUGCCUUAGUCGUUGGAAAGAUUUGUUCUUGGAAUAUGAUCUUUCAAUUUAAUGAUUCCAGGAUAACUUUUGGACUGAUCCCAGCCGAUCUAUUGCUAGAGCCUAUGAGAAAACAGAUCAAGCAAUCUUGACACACAACCCUGACCUAGGACGUGGUGGGUCCACAGCCGUCACUGCAAUCCUUGUAAAUGGGCGCGAAUUGUGGGUUGCAAAUGUUGGAGAUUCCCGGGCUGUACUUUCAAGGAAAGGGGAGGCAGUACAAAUGUCUACAGACCAUGAGCCUAACACUGAGCGAGGUAGCAUUGAGAACAGAGGUGGAUUUGUCUCGAACAUGCCAGGUCUGGCCUAAUGCUAAAGCUAGUAUACCUUUUACUUUAUGAUCUUUAACGCCUAAAAAUGAACUUUGGAGAUAUAUGGUACACAAGUUUUUACCCAACUCCUCCUGGAUGGAAUAGAGCUUACAUGAGUUGAGUGGGGUCACCUAUGAUAUCACUGAUCAUUAUAUUUCCGGCAAGAACUUAAAAUAAGUUAUGUCUGGUCAUUUUGUCAGCGUGAGGUUUGAACUUGAGGUUGAGUAAAGACAAUUAUCAUUAUUUAUCAGAGCUAAAGAAAAUUUGGCCAUCCUGGUGAACCCCAGUUUACUUCUCAAAUGAGAUUGGUCCUAAGGGCUUUGCACAGGGAAGAUUUCACAUGUUUACCGUGUCUAUGAAAUCCAAAUAUUGUGCUUAGAUCGGAGUGCUGCUUGGCUGACGUUUCAGUUCUGAGGACAUUCACGGUAGUUUACUAGUAUUGGUUUUGGCUGCGCAGAAUAUAUUAUUCUAAAUUCUUGCUAUCUAGCACAUGCUAUAGCACAUAGUACACAUGUAUUUUGUGUUAUGAAGCACUGAAUAUUUAUUUAAAAUUCUUACUUUUGAAACAUCUAAUCUAUGUUUUGUAGUAUGUCAUUUAGCUUAGUCCGAUUCAAAUAUUGUUGCAUACGAAUGCUAUAAAAAGUGAUGCUGAAAAUUGCAAAUAUAUGAGGAAAAAAAAUUCUCUAUGAGUGCACAGUGACCGGAGGCUGUAAGUGCACUGGCAUGUCUUCUAGGUGCACUUCAUAAGUUAUAACAUUCUUUCUUUGACAUGCAUAUAUACUUGAGCCAACAUGUGUCAAGGAGGAAAAGACUCUGCAUAGAGAUUAAUAGCGCAAAAGUAUCCACGUGCCCUAUCUAGUUACAUGGAAAAGGCUGCUGUAAUUGUCUUGGGUUGCACUAUCAUGACUUUAUGCCUGUCUCUCUCCAUGCGUAACUGCAAUGGACUUUGAACUUGUUGUCUUACUAGAUCCGUCUACCGUAAUAUUUUGUGGCAUUUUCAGAGGCAGAAAUGAUCAGGAACUGUUUAAAUAAUUAUUGGUAUUCAUCAUGACACUUCGCUGAAAGUUGCUGUGAGCUGAAUAGCUGACUUGCUUAUCAUUGAGAAUGGUUGCGUGUGGUAGACAAUAUUGGCUAUUUUCUUUUACCUGCAUUCUGAUCCUGCACUGCAAUUGACUUUUCCCUUUAUUUCCUUAAUGUACUAUGCGAUAACCCAUUUGCUGCUCAUAUGUUGGUGGGAUUGAUGGUUAACUUAAUAUGCAGUGCAUGAUUUUGGACUUGAGAUGGAUCCAGUGGUAGCAAGUUACGUUGAUCCUAAGAAUUGCAAUGCAAGAUUAGGGUAAAAGAAGGUUUUUGUAGAAGAAGGAAAAAGAAAAACACUCUCUUGCUUUAUAUCGAAGCACAAAAAUGUAGAUCACACCCUAAGUUUGAUGACAAAAGAGAUACAUAUGUUCGGCUCGAACCUCCUUGGGACCUUCUCUUGAGUAACUUUUAACUUUGGCACUAGCUCCACAGAGCUAAUGCAAUCUCACAAUUGCAAACUUGAUACCUCUUUCCAUGUAGAUUGUGCUGUAAUUGACUCUUAAAUUAGAUCAAUGUGUUCUUAAUCUAGAGUCCAUUUGUUCUCUAAGCUUAUGAUAGAUCUCUUGAAAGAGACUCUUAACAAAUGUAACUGUUUGAACUGACUUGCAUCUUAAACACGCAUUGUUUUUUGGGUGAUGUACCUUGACCAUGGGGACAUGUUCCUUUUCUUACUACAUGAAAUAGCUUUGGUAAAUAAAAGGGCAUCAGCUUGAAAGGUUGAAAUGCUUAAAAAGGAUUUAAUCCCUUCUCUUAUAUAGACACUGAUUUGUCACUUUCAAUUGAUGUUUGUCUUCGGAACUCUAGCAGUAUCUUGUGCGUCCCUCUCAAUAAGGUGUGAUAUUGUUCUGGAGAUGAAGACUGAUGUAGACAGAGAGAGACUUAAAGGAAAAGAUCUCCAGGAUCUGCAUGGUUAAAAGGACGUAGUAUUAGAUAGAGCACAGAGAAACAAGAGAUCCAAUGGGGAGCCUGCCAGUAGUUUAAUUGUGCGCAUAUCAAACCACCCAGAACUCUGUCUCUCAUAGCGCACAACCUUUGCUUGGCUUUUGGUACUUUAUGAUCUUCAGUCUCCACUUUUUGUUUCUGAAAUGAUAAACAUAAUUCCAACAUGAAGGUACUAAGGCUGUGUAUGGUUGUUUGGAUUCGGAUUGGGAUAAGAUAGGAUAACUUGGGAUUAGAAAUUCUCCAAAUACCUUCAGAUUGUAGAAAAUCCCCUAGUAUGUUUGGUACGACCUAGGAUAGGAUUAAAAUCUUUAAGAUUCCUUGUCAUCUUAAAGGAAAUUUCUCCUUCCUCAAGCUUGCGAUUGUUCUCAUCCAUCUUGCACACAACUACCAAACCUCGACAACCCUAAAAGCCAGCUGCCCCAAAAUUCUGACCUCAAUCCCACCUCCCUGAAAUCCACAAUCACUCACACCUCCACACCUGUAGACAAAAUUCAGAACUCAGAAAAAAUCACUAGAGCUCAGGAACAAUGCCUUCAACGCCCCAGACAAAAGUGAUGGAUUGGUUGAAAUUCACAAUGGGUGUGCAAGGAUUGGAUGGUCAGAAUUGAGGUAUUGAUCAGUGAUGAAUCGGGAUUGAAGUGGUGCGAGCAACCUCGCGAUUGUGAGUUUGGAAUCUUUUUUAUUUUAUUUUAUUCUCCUUUAGGUUCCACUUCUCUCUCUGGUUUUUGAUUAAAAUGAAAUGCAGAGGAGGUGCCAUGCCUAUUUUUUGUUUUGUUAAGUUAUUUUUUAAAAAUAUUUUAAUCCAAUUUGGGUAUAUUCCACCCCCUACCCUGGAUUUCUUAUCUUGCAUUUUAUCCAGAUAUAUCCGGGUUAAUCUAGUCAGUAGGGAAUCACCAAGCACCGGAUAGGAUAAUUUGUUAUCUUAUCUGGACUCAAAUCUGAACCACCAAAUGUAGCCUAAGGGCUACUGCCCCUAUACAGAGUUGCUGUAGAAAGGGAGCCACCCAUGUUCAAGAUUAGGCACGACAGACUGUUUCUAACAUUUCCAACAAAAUAUUUCUUGAAGUUCCCUUUUCUUUCCUUCGAAAGAGUAAGAGUAUUAAAUUGUUUCAUUCAAAACAAUAUCAGUUAGACCAGCAGUCAGAAUCUCAAUAUCAUACUUUGUUUUUUUAAGCAAUGGGCAUUGCCUAUUUAGCUAAUUUGUGAGCAGCAUGGCUAGCUGUUCUUCUUGUCCACUGCCCUGACUAGGAGGGAUGUGGGUAUGUAAGAGAUGGCAUAUGUCAGAAUCUUUCUUAUAGUUCGAAAAUCCAAUUAAGGCCAAUAACUAAGGCUUUUCUUUAGUUAUCCUUUGUUAGUUUCUUUCUUGUGAAGGUUUUAUUUUUAAGCUAGGGUUUGGUGAGAAUUAAAAAAAGUCAGAUGCUACCCUCAAUUGGUGACUCCAUGAAGAAAAAGCAUGAUUGUUGGUCAAAUUCUUAUUUUCUCAUGCCUUUGAAAGAAACACUUUUAGCAUUUCACAUUCUCCAGUUUCUUCUAGUGGAUUUCUUGUUGUUCCUCUUACUCUUUUUUUCUCUGCCUUCGAAAUUUAUACUCCUAACUUUAAUGUAUUUUCAGCUUUUUGUCUGUGGAUCUGCAACUGAUAUUCUCAAAAUGAACCCUAGAUUAGAAAAUUUCCACUAGUUUCUAUGCUUAUAGGAUAAGCACAAGGAUGCAAUCAUCUUACAAUUCAGUGAAUUCACACAGUAAAGUAAUGUUCUCACAUUCUCUACAACUAUAGAUUUGGGAGAGCUUGAUCCACCAGCUUCUGCUUCCUUAGUAUUAGGCUGGAGAACUACUUUUGGGGCUUCCAUUGGCAUGCCAGAAACCAAUAGGCUGACGUGACUUGUUCUUAUGAAGCUAAGUUUAGUUAACCUUGUAGCCAUCUUCCAAACAUCCCUAUUUUACAGGCCAAUUCUAUUUAACAGAAAUCGACAGCAACCUCAAAAUGUAGCUGCUUCAUUGUGCACCUAGUUAAAUUCAAAAUUUCUAUGGAGAGAAUAGUCAGAUUAUUAUUAAUCAGUAGAUAAGAAUGUGGUCUUACUGGGGGAGAUCAAUUUGAUGAGUGCACAGGGAAGCAAAUCUGGUGCAUGAUGAAUCAGAUCAGCGGACUGAUAAUGUGAUAAAAAGUACAUCCUUUUGCAUGACAGAAUGUAGAAUCAAAAGCGUGCUCUUGUAGUUGAAGCCAUAUGUUAAUAUGCCAAGUAGGUUCCACAUUGCUACAGAAACAGUCACUAUUUUCAUGGAGAACCAUCACCAAUGCUAACUGAAACCUAUCAUGUUUGUACUAGAUCUUCUGUUAAGAGAAUGGAAAGCUAGACCGUAGACACACGUGGAUAAGUAAUUUGAUUGUCUUACAAUAUAUCAGGAGAUGUUGCAAGAGUGAAUGGCCAGUUGGCAGUGUCUCGUGCUUUUGGAGACAAGAACCUCAAAUCGCACUUGCGGUCUGAUCCCGAUAUAAAAAACACUCCCGUCAACGAGGAAACUGAUUUUCUCAUCCUUGCGAGUGAUGGUUUAUGGAAGGUGAUAUCCAUGCCCUUUCCAUUUGCUCUUCAUUAAUCUUCCGUACCUUUCAUCUUGGUUUUUGUUGUUUACUAUCGGCUGUGUCGGUGCAGGUCAUGUCUAAUCAGGAGGCGGUCGACAUUGCUCGGAAGAUGAAGGACCCUUUGAGGGCAGCCAAGAGCCUCGCCGCUGAAGCGGUAAAAAGAGAUAGUAAGGAUGACAUAUCCUGCAUCGUUGUUCGUCUAAAGGUGUAGCACCGAAGCCUUGUAUAUUAACGGUAUAGGGGCAAAAAAUGCCGCGACAUUCGCUUGUUGGCGUUGUUGCCAUGAUCCACCGGUUCAUAAUCCAGCACAAGUUUGGAGGAAAAGAAAUGAAUUCCGAAUUAGGUGAUAGCUUGUGAAUUUUAAAUUCUGUAAGUCAUACAUAAAGUUACUGCACUCGUGUGUGCGGCUUUGCUGUUGGGUUGUUCCUUCCAAUAUGUAGGGUUCAUUUGCAAUUCGUGCUGUAAUUUGCUCAUAGUUUACGAAGCUGUGCGAAUACAUAAGUGGAUUUAUUUAUUUGAUAAAAUGAGUGUUAUUAUGUGGCAAUCAUCACGGCAAAGAACUACUGAUGCCCCAGAAAAUUGGCUAAUUGGCUGCACAAAACGUCGAUUCUCCUCUUUACCUCCGUCUUGGACUUACCUAGAGUGCAGAAUCUGCACGUAAAACCCAAAAACCCAAGGUGUUUUUUUUUCUUUUUUUCUUUUCCUUGUCGAGGACCAAGUAAUUUGGCUCCUUGAUGCUUGUUUUUAUCAUCUCCAAUGGAUUCAUCCUUUGGAGUACGAAACUUGAAAAGGCAUUGUGUCUGGACUUUUGUGACUUUGUGUUUAGCAAUCCAACAUUCAGAUUUUCAACCAUGGAAGUUGCUUCUUGAGCUGUUUUUGCCCCAGCUAUUCUCAGCAUGAUGGAUUUUCUGCUUUUGGAGGGAAUUUCAAACACAACUCUAAACGGUCAAAUAUUUUAUUUAGGCCUAAUCCGACAUCACCAAUCAAGUCUAAAAAGCCAACUAAAUAACAAAUUUAGACCCCAUCAGGUUGAAAUUACAAAUGUUUUUUUUUUUCUUUUUUGGUUAUAUAAAUAGUAAGGAAUUUUACUUGGUUCAAUGGAGAGAUCUUGCUGGAUUGCAUAUUCAUUCGAAUCAAAUCGGGUCGGAUAAGAUCCUAAUCAUUUGGGAAGACAAGAUUCCGAUGCCUUGCCAAAAAUGGAUGAAGUAAGAAAUUGUCAAACAUAUCAACCAAAAAAAAAAAAAAAAGAAUUUGUCAAACGUUAAUGACAGCUCUAUAAAUUAGGAAACAAAUUGUGGCUUGUCUAUUUUGGUCAUUAACUCCUGGAUGUGAGAAAUACUUGUGCUGUAAAAAUCCUAGAUUUGUGUUUCUUCUUUUGGUCCUAGGGCCUCCAACGCAGAACGAAUUUUCUAAACCCAAACUUCUUGCCUUAGGUCAUAAUCUUUUUCAUUCCCAAUUUCAAAUUUUUAUCCCGGACGAAUUUCUGUCUUGUCAAAACAUCGACUCAUUGUAGCCAUGAAGAAAUCAUUAUAUCUCUUGUGAAUUUGAAGUUAGAAGUGCGAACCAGCACCGAAAGAUACACUUUGUUGUUCCGAUUGAUCGUCCAAUGUCAAGGAAAUCUCCAAGGAUGUCGAAAUGCUUCAGCUUCACCGCGUCUAGAGAUUGGUUCUACCGCUACUGGUUCGCAAAAUCGGGCUUACGCUCCGUGUCUACCAGCCUCGGGGAUGGCACGGUUAUGCAAUGCUGGGUCCCCAAAAUCCGCAAACCUUCCAAGCCGAACCUGGUCCUAGUCCACGGGUUCGGCGCGAACGCGAUGUGGCAAUAUGCGGAGGCCCUCCACCACUUCACCCCACGGUUCAAUGUUUACGUCCCGGACCUGAUCUUCUUUGGCCGGUCCUACACGUCGCGCCCCGACCGGACCGAGUCAUUCCAGGCGCGAUGCCUGAUGAGGCUGAUGGAUUUGCAGGGCGUGAAUAGAAUGUGCAUGGUCGGGAUAAGCUACGGCGGGUUUGUGGCAUACAGCAUGGCCGUGCAGUACCCGCAGGCAUUGGACCGGCUGGUCUUGUGCUGCACCGGGGUUUGCUUGGAGGAGAAGGACUUGAAGGAGGGAUUGUUCCCGGUCAAGAGUUUAGAGGAGGCGAAGCUGGUUUUGAUGCCGCAGACGCCCGAUAAGCUUAGGGAAUUGAUGCGAGUCUCCUUUGUCCGGCCCGCCACCGGGGUUCCCUCUUUUUUCCUAACUGAUUUCAUCAAGGUAAGGUUCCGAUCUCGUUCGAUGUACAUGAACAGGCACUAAUCUCUGAGAAUUUUAUCCUGUCCAUCGUCAGUAGAAAAUUCAGUUUCUUGGAAAGGUUUGAUAAAUUGUUAGUUGUGAAUAGAGAUAGAUUAAGCAGUAAGUAGAUUUGCAUAAACAAGGGUUCAUAUGUUCUGAGAGAGUUGGAAUUUGUACAGGUCAUGUGUUCAGAGUAUGUCGAAGAGAAGGGGGAAUUGAUCCAAGAGAUACUCAAAGAUCGAAACCUAUCGAGUCUACCCAAAAUCAGACAGGUUCAUCUCCUUUCAAAUUUCACUUGGGUACAGCAUAAUUCAAUUCAUGCAAAUGCUAAUUUGCUCUGGAGUCUAGAUUAUGGAUUUUGUUUUCUGUGGAAGAUGAAUACAAGGAAACAUAUACUAGUGCAUCUUGUCUUUGUGACCUAGGCUUCCAAGAGAAGCGUGAAAAUUCCAUCAUCAAAGUGACAAAUAUAAGAAAUCUUUUCAAGUCAAAUUCAACUGUCCUCGAUCCGUCUGUGUAGUGUUGUAACGUUGAUUGUUUUGUCGCACUGUGAUGGGUUGUCACCAUGAUCAUACAUUAAUCACAAAGAAAAUGUUCUCGACAUGUUUUCAGUUACUUGUCAUUGCAAGUCGUCUGAUUGAAAGUGAUAGCAAAAUCGAACCACCUGAUUGAAAAGGUUGAAAGCCCAGCUAGAUAGACGUUCAUGUGACUACGCAUAAGAUCCACUCCAUUUGAUAGCUUCCUGAAGGUUAUAGAAUCAUUGUUUCUUCUUCGACAAAAAUUUAUCUGAAUCAAACUCCUGAACAUUGUUUUCCUAUGCAAUGCUUCCCAAUUUUGAGCAGCCCACAUUGUUGGUAUGGGGAGAGCAAGAUCAGAUAUUCCCCCUGGAGCUGGGUCACAGAUUAAAAAGGUGAAGCUUCAUUUUAUACGAAACUAUCUACUUCUCCGCUUUCCUAUUUUCCUGUUUUUUACUCCCCUCGAUACAUAUGACAUGACCGAGCACAAGAUACUGAGCUGAUGCUAAUGCUGGCAUUGGGUCAGGCACAUUGGGGACAGUGCUGAACUGGUGGUGAUCAAGAAUGCAGGGCAUGCGGUGAACUUGGAGAAGCCUAAGGAAUUCAUCAAGCAUUUGAAGCUCUUCCUUCUGUGAUGUAAUUGAUCAGAUUCAUGUCUCCUAAUCCAUCCACUAAUGUGAGAUGACAAAGCGGAUUUUUCUGGUUCUGGGCACUGGGUUUCUUGAUUACACUCUGAUUGAUCUGUGAUUUUACACACAUGGAGUGAUGCUUCUUGCACGUUGCCAAGAAAGAAGUCUCCCUAAACAGUGAAAAUUGAUUAUGGAAAUAUACAUGUGUGGCAAUUUGUGACCAUGAUGCUUUUGGUCUUUUAAGCAGAGCCUUCCAUGCCUGAUCUAUUCUUUUCUUUUUGGAUAAGUGGAUUAAAAAUACUAAAAUUUUUGCUUGAUCCACCAAUAGAACGAGAAUUUUAAUAAAAAACGUUAAAAAAAAUAAAAAAAAUAGAAGGAAAAAGGAUAAAUAAAAACUUAUUUAUGGCCAUGGCGGUUUGAGCUUCUUCGAACUUCAUCGAGCUCUGCCAUAGCCACUCGAGCUUUUCCGAAAUAAAUGUAAUAAUUCUACUUCCGCCGGAAGUUCAGGCUCACGGCAUCAGAAGUGCCGGGGGAGAUUGAGGCCCUCUUCUCAAUGCUUUGUGCUUAAUUGAUUUGAUUCCAUUUUUUAUUUUAAGUGUUUGUUUUUGGUUCUUUUGUUCAUGUUUAGAAGAAGUUGGAGCGGUUAUGUUCGAGAGCUCGAAGAAAUUGGAGCGGCCAUGGCCGUAGCUCGAAGAAGCUCAAGAGGCUAUGGUCGGGAACUUGACUAAGCUUUAGUGGUCAGGGCCAAGCUUGAAGAAGAAUGCUAAAAAGUCCAAUUCAAAAGAUUACCAAUAGUCUUACAAAAUCUUACAUUAAAUUGGAGUAUGUAGGAUUCGUUGUCACUUCCACACCCCUUCUCAUGCCUAAUUACUACCUUAUGUGUAAUUUGAAUGAUGAAGGUGGAUACACAUACACAAAAGAGAUAGCACAUAUUCUAAUAAAAUGUUAGAAGGUUUAACAAAAGCUUGAGCUUUAAAAUAUUUGGUAAUCAUCCCAUAAAUCCCAUAAAAUCUUACAAAAUGAUCAACAAUAAAAGUAAUUUUAUUCAGGUGAUGUAAGCUUGAUGAAGAAGAUUAUUAGUUUGUUUGUCUUAUCAUUUUUUUUUUCUAUUUUUUGUAUCUUUUUUCUUUAUAUAUAUUUUUGAUGUUUCGCUUGGUGGAUGCAACAUUGGCUUUACAUGUCUCAAGAAAGUAAUAAAAAACCCACGUAAGCAUUUUUCAUGAAUCAAAUAGGGAUGAAAAUGACGAAAUAGCUUAAUUGUACCAAUUUGAUAAGUUUUAAAACUUCUAGUACACUUAUUAUUCUUAUUUAUACCAAAUUUUAAAAAUGAAUUCAUUUGUGUGGUUUUGGCUCACAUAUGAAAGAAUAUACAACAAAAGUUAAUAUUCUCAAAAAUCCUAAACUGGUAUAUUUAUGACAAAUAUACCCAAACUAAUUCUUUGACCACAAAAAAUCUUAAACUAGUACACUUGUGAUAAAUUUACCAUUUGUUAGUUUCAAUUAAAUUUUAUUAUUGAAUUACUGAGUUAUAUGACAUGUGAUAGUUGACUAGUAUACCAAUUUAGGAUUUUACUCUUUAUUUGUUACAGUUGUAUCAUUUUUAUAUUUUUUUAUAACAUUAAUUCAAUUUAAUGGAUGGUAUAUUUAUCACAUAUAUACCAAAGUGGGGUGUUUUUGGCGAUCAAACAAAUUAGUUUGGGGCAAAUUUGUUACAAGUAUAUUAAUUUAUGAUUUUUUGCAGUCAUUUGAGGUAAAUUUGUUACAUGUGUACCAAUUUAAGAUUUUUCAUGAUAAAAAAAACGAGUUUUAGAUAAAUUUGUAUUUCUUAACGAUUUUGUCAAAGAUAUAUGAAGAGACAAUAGGUUUUAGUUGUUGGCAAAAAAAAUAAAGCAGCCGUGUCUUGCCGGAAGCAUGCUAAUUUGCAGGAAAAUUGUUAAUUAUUAAUCACUAAGGGUUGUUCUAAUGGUAAAUGGAGGUGGGGGAUUUGAUUCUCUACCUUUUCGAGGGUUAAGAUAGGGAUGCGUUAACGAAGGAGAGGGUUGCAUUGGUACAUACGGUGAUUUGUAAAAAAAAAAAUUAUGAUAGGACCGGGAAAAGAAAUUAAUGAUUUGUACGAUGACGCGUGGAUGAAGGGUGAACAGAAGGAACAUCCCUAACCUCGUGUGAAGCAAAGCAAACGCGCCGUCAGGAACCAAAUCCUGCUUGGACUAUAAAAUUGGCGGAAAAUCACUUGGUUUUGGAAAACAAUCUGGGGUCCUGGGUCGAGGAGUUGGGGUCACCGAGUUAGGUUACUAGGGUCUUGGUUCCGACCGUCGGGUUCCAAGCUUGGUGCCAAAGUCUUGGGUCAUAGGUUUAAUCGUGAAACUAGGGGUGUCAAAGUAAAUUCUAGAAAGUGGGCAACUCCUUUUUUUGGGAUUUAAGUACCCAAUUUUCUUGACCCAAAAAAAUAUAUUUUUGUAAUAAUAUUAUUCCAAGAAACACCAACUGAUCAACAAUUAAUGAUUCAAUUCUACAUCAACUUUAGGUUGGGUCUCAACUUUGGCUGAAGUCCAUUUUUUUUAAUAUUAUAAGAGGCACAAACUUCGCUUCAUAUGUCAAUUCUAGCCCAAAAUUUUAUGUCUUUUAAAAGAACAUCAACUUUAAGUUUAGUCUCAAUUUUGGUCCGACAUUUUUUUUGUCUAAUAGAAAACUAGCAACUUUUAAUCAAUACUCAAUUGUGACCCCUAUUAGUCGCCAUUGAAUACUUUGUUAAAAAGAAAAGAAAAAGUCUCCAUUGAAUACGUGUGGAAUUAUUGGAUGGAAACGAUGGGGACAGAUUUAGGUUUUGCCUGAAACUUUAUUUCUUUUAUGAGAUAACAAAAAAUUCAAGUUAGAAUUAGUACACAGGUUAAAGUUAAUGUUUUUUUUUAUAAUAUAGAUAAAAGUUCGAGCUGAAAUUAGAACUCUAGUUAAAUUUGAUGUUUUCUUAAGGGAAUUGGUUUGACAACAGGAAAAAGACACUAUAAAUGUCAUAAUUUUUUUCAUAUUUUUUUUGAUCAGUUGAGUACCAUAUAAUUUUUCCGGAAGUCAUUUGAGUAUUAUAACUUUUUAUAAACAUUUAGCACAACGGCUUUGCCAUGUUGGAUUUUUGAUACCCAGGUGAAUGUUUUUAAAAAUUUAUAGCACUCAAGUAAUUAGUUGAAAGUUUUAACACUCAAGUAAAAUAUUUUUUAAAAUUAUGACAUUCAAAUAUUCGAAAAGGAAGUUACAGUAUUCAAAUAAGUGCCGUACAAAAAUUAUGACAUUUAUAAUGUCUUGUCAGACAACUAAUUGAAAAACCUUGGUUGGACAUUUGUAUUUUGUAAUCAAUGGACCCUAGGAGUAGGAUUGCAUGGUGCGUCAAAGCUGGCUUCGACGGUACCAAAACGAAAACCUCUACCUCGUCACGAUGGUAAUACGCAGAUUCUCUGGCCCAUUGGAGCACCAAGAAUGUGGAAAACCAAUUAAGGUUUUUCAAAUACGAGGUGUGCCGUUCGCUUCCUUCGAGGUUAAACAAAGAGAAUUUCGCUCCCCUUUCUAUUAAUUAAUUACUUCUUUUUGGGUACUUUUCCAUUUAUUUUGGCUUUAGCAAUAUAGAGCACUUCAAAAAAAGAAUUGCAAAAUGAGUACCGGGGAAGGCGUGAACUAUCUAUUAUACAUUUAAUAAUGGAUUAAAAAGAAGUUCCUUGUCGUGCCCGUAAAUUAUUAGAAACUAUUUCAUUUCUCAUUUUAUUCGUGAAUUUUCAGUUAAGCUUUGUUAGCAUAAUAGUUUUUAAUCUACUGUUAGAAUAAUUUAUUAUGAGUUGCAAAUUUUUUAAGGAAUGGACUCUAUAAUGAUUUCUAAUUGUUUGUUACUUAUUUUUUAUGACAAAAAAUAAAUUAUUAUUCCCAUAAUAGAUUAAGGAUACUCAUUUAAGCAUUCCCCUUUUUGAUUUGAGAAAUGAUUUGGUGAAAGUCCUUAAUUUACUGUGAGAACAUAAGUCUAUUUUAAUUAUAAAUUAUUGUGAAGCUAAUUCAUUCGAGAAUUUAUAACUCAUAAUAAACUAUUAUUAAUAUGGUAGUCUUAAAAACUAUAAUACUAACAAAACUGUUUCAAUUUUAUAAAACCAGCAGGAGGUAAAAUGGAAUUGGGUCUUCAAAGUCAAUUUCUCUUUGGAAUGCAUAUUGUAUUGAAAUUAUUAAUGCAUGGAACCCACGUAGCUGAGUUGACCCAGGGCUUGGCCAUGAAGACCGGUCAAACCUCGCACAUAUAAAUACAGACUUGCUCCAAUUGCUGUCACUCAACAUUCGAAGAUUCAACUGUUGAAAUUGCUCAGGUAUGUGCCUUUUUUUUUUCUCUUGCACAUUAAAUAUGCAUUCAAGUUUGAUGAAUUUUAACUAAAGGUUUUUUUUAAUAUAUUAAAAUAUCAAUGUGAGUUUUUUUUUUUUUUUGAACAGGUAUCAAUGUGAGUUUAAAUAUUACAUCUAUAGGGAUAGUUAUAAGCGAGAAAGUUGGUCGAGUCUCUGUUGAGUCAAAUUCAACUGGAAAUCUGGUCUGAUCCCAGUUGAAGUGCCAUCAAUUGUGAAGAAUAAAAGUUCAGUGCCGAUAAUAAAAAUCAAAGUUAGUCAACUUGAUUGCAAAAUCUACGAAUACUCGCAGCAAAGCAACACUUUUAAAAGAAUUUUUUUUUAAAUGACCACUUGUAUUGCUUAGCAAAAUUAAUGUAAUGAAAUUAUUUUCAUCAUUAAUAAUUAUCUAUAUGUAUAGAUUGUUAUUAAUAAUAAAAAUGCUUUCUGUUGAUUAAUCGGUUAAUUUUCUUAAUGUUUCAUAAUUGUUAUCCACAGGAUGGGUACCGCGAUUCUUAGAGGGAUGUUCGAGUCAUUUGAGGAUGAAAGCAAGAACGGUACGUAGUAUGGACAUUUUGAAUUCAAUCUGCAUUUAUUCAAAUAUAUAUAAUAUAUGUAUAUUUAAUUGACAAAUUAUGUAAUUUUUCAUGCAACCAAUAUAAACAAAUAUGGCUGGUCAAUUUCUCAUAUGACUGAUCAGUUCCAUAGCUUGAGAAAUGUAGAAAUCGAAUUCGUCAAAGUUGUUUGUAGCAACUAGAAAGUCGUACAUUUACCAUGGUAUCGCCCAAAGCCUGCGGAUAAAUAAAUACAGCUUCGUUUAUUCUGUGCAAAGAAGCAGGAAAUGAGAAGCCGAGAAACGCCGGAGCUACGCAAAAGCUCGACGUGAAGAUCGUGAAUGCUGUUCGUGUUUCUCCGGCGAGGGAAACUUUUAGCGGGCUCUACACUCUCUCGAACCUCGACCAGACCUUCCCGUACGUGAUUGAGAUCGUGUUCGCCUUUGAGGGCGAAGGGAGGGGAAGGUGUCCCGCCGCGAUCGAGACAAUCAGAGAGUCGCUGGCCAAGGCAUUGGUCGAGUUCUAUCCGUUUGCGGGCAGACUUGUCGUGGGGAGCGACGGGAGGAUGGUGGUGAGAUGCACUGGAGAAGGUGUCCCGUUCAUCGAAGCAACGUCGGAGGAUGAUAUCGCAGCGCUGGGCGAUAUCAGUACCAUCAAUCCGGCCAUGCUGCGAAAACUCGUGAAGCACAGCGACGGAGCCCCGACCAUAUUAGAAGUACCUUUGCUGACGGUGCAGGUAAAUGCUAUUGAAAAUGGGGGGUUUCACUAGAUCCGACGGUCUUAUUUAGUUUAAUACACAUAAGUAGAUAUCCACUUACAGUUUAUCAUGAAAUCCAGGUGACGACGUUCAAGUGCGGAGGGAUCGUCGUCGGCAUCGUCAUGAAUCACGUCCUUGUUGACGGGAAAGCCCUCACGGACUUCAUAGCUUGCUGGAACGACCUGGCUCGAGCCAAGCCGCCAUCAGUUCUUCCCUUUCUUGAUCGAUCGGUGUUGCGCCCGAGGCAACCUCCGCACGUCGAUCUCCCCCACCACGAGUAUGCUCCGAGAGAUCGGCUGCCCGGACUCGUGGUUGACCCCCAAACCAAGCCCCUCGUUUACAGAUCGUUCUGCUUCAAGCCACACGCUCUCAUUCAGCUCAAGAAAGCGGCAAGAAUCGUAACUCAGAAUGGCUCUUCCGUAGUCCCAACCACCUUCGAAGUCAUAUCGGCCCUCGCGUGGAUCUCGCGAACCAAAGCUCUCGGAAUCGGUCCUCACGAGACGACGAAGCUUCUCACUGCAGUCGACGGCCGCCCCAAGUUCGACCCCCCGCUGCCGAGUGGCUACUUCGGGAACGGCAUCGCUUGGUCCUGCGCUGAGUGCAGCGCCGGCGAAUUGAUCCGCAAGCCCUUCUCAUUCGCUGUCCAGACCGUGCGUGAGGCGCUCGCAUCCGUCACCGAGAGUUACAUAAGGUCGGCCAUCGACCACGUCGAGCUGAACAGGGUCCUUGUCGAAUGCGAGGGUAACGCUUGCUGCAUCAGCAAGUGGAGCCGGCUCCCUUUCUACAAGAUGGAUUUCGGGUUCGGGAGGCCAGUCCAGGUGGCGCCGGCGAGGGUCCCCGACAACGUCAUCUUGGUCGCUUCUCAGAGCAGGGAGAGCGGCGACUUGGUUGUGUCUCUGGGGCUUACUCGCGACGCCAUGGAUGUUUUCUCGAAGUUGAUUCAGCAUAAGCUCACGCUGAAAAGCAAGUUCUAGUCUCAUCCAUGGAUAUGAGUAUAUGAAGCUUACUUUUCGCGCCCCUGGUUUUAAUUAGGCCUAGCGCAGUGGUGUUGCGUUGCUUGUGCCUGUUGUUUUAUAUGAUAUGCUUCCACCAAUAAAGUGAUGUACUUUCCAAAAAAUGGAAUUUUAUAGAUGCAAAUGUCAAUUUAUGAAAGAACACUCAUAGCAUACACUAAUAAUGUGAAAAAAAGUUAUACGCAUAUAGUUUUGUACACCAUUGAUCGGGCAUUAAGAGUAAAUUAAGGGCAUACGAGGCCAUUUGUUUGAGAAAAUAUUAACUGCACAAAUUGUGGAAGGAAAAGAAAGUGAAACAAAGAAAAUAAAAAAGAAGGGAGAAACGGCAAAGAAGAAGAGAAAUGGAGGUGCGAGUCUGCAAGAGGAGAGAGACAAGGAGAGAAAAAUCUGACAAGUGGGCCAUUCGUGGACAUGUCGCUUAAUAGAUGGGCAUCUACUUUGUGACGCUAGCACAACUUGUGCAGCUAAUAUUUUUCUUAAUUUUGAGUAAGACUAGCAUAGUGAUGUUGCGCUCCUCGGGACUGUUGUAUUAUAUGACAUGCUUCCAUCAAUGAAGUGAUGUACUUUCUAAAAAAAAAGGAAUCUUAUAGAUACAAAUGUCAAUUUAUGAAAGAGUGAACAUAGCAUAUAGUAACAUAAGAAAGUUUUACACAGGUAGUUUUGUACACCAUUAAUAUGAUAUUGUGACUAAACUAAGGGCAAAUAGACAGUUCGUGUAAAUUUUUUCUUUACACAGGUGGUGUAUGCGCUAUUUUUCUUUGAGUGUUUGGUAAAGUACCAUUUUCACUAUCUAUAUAUCUUUAGCAUCAGGAAGAUUAUUGCUGGGUUGUCAUCAUCCAUGUUGGGUAUUCAUUAAUAAACAAGUGUGAGCGUACCAUAGAGAAAAAUUCCCUAUCGGGUAAUUGAAGAGGGAUUGAGCAGUUAAUAAAUUUACUAGACUUAUAAUUUAUUGAUUUAAACUCUUAAAAAAAUGUGAUUUACUAAUAUGAUUUUUUGAUGGGUUCAUAUUCUUGAAAAUCUACUCUCCAAGAUAAGUUUUAUUCUUUCCAAGAGUUUUAGAAUUUUGAGAACCAAAGAGAUAUAGCUACAAUUGUCCAUGUGCUGCUAUUGAACAAAAGGUCCAAUAUUCAUAUUGUAGGAAAUGCUUCCAGUCCCAAAAUAAGUCAUUUCCAUGAUGAAUACCCUGCAAAGCAUGAAUUGCAUUAUAUAUGUUUAAUGAGGGACUAACAUUAAUUCCUCGUUGUGAAUUUUCAAUUUUAUAAAACCAGGAGUAAAAGUGGAACUGGGUCUUCAAAGUCAAUUUCUCCUUUUAAUGCAUCUUGUAUUAAAUAAAUAAAUACAUGGAACCCACAUUGCAUAAAGACCUGUUGACCCUCGCACACAUAAAAAUAGGCGUGCUCCAAUUGUUUUACUAAAUUGUCCAUGCUUCAACUGUUGAAAUUCUGCAGGUGUGCGCCUUUCACUUUUUUGGAUUUGAUGUGCACAUUUUAACCUAACAUAUUGUUAGGGUUAAUUAGGAUAUUUUUUUAUUAUUAUCCUCAUCUCUCAAGAUUGCGCUUAUAUUUCAUUUUGAUUAUGCAUAUCCUUGAUUAUUAAUUUAUUUUAGAUAGUCAUUUAAUAAAGCCUAUAUUAUUCUCUUCAUCUACACACAUUAAAAUACAUAGAAAUUUCACAUUAUUUCUUCCCAUUUUUUAUAUUUUAGGUUAUACCAAAAGUAGUGAUGAUGAUUUUUGUAAUAUUUUAAUAAGUUUUAUGAAAUUUCUUUUUUCUUUUUUCUUCGUAGGAUUUUCAUCCAACGAGAUAACUUGGGCCCUAGCAACAUUUAUUGACUCUUGCUGGCAAUAGGCAAAGGCUUCAUUCUCUCGCUUGGAUUUAGGUGAGGGCCCACAAUGCCCUCACCCUUAGGCUAAGAGUGGAAACAUAUAAUAAAAAAGACAAAUAAGGGGUUUUAAAUAAUUUGAACCAAAAAAAUCUUCCUUUGAUACCGUGUAUGAUGUUAUGAGACUUUUUUUGUAGAGUUAUUUUAGAAUGAAUCACUUAAAUCUUCAACUUAUAAAGCGAUAAAUAUUAGGGGCAUGCAAUCAGGCCUAUUCAACCUUGGAACCAGCUCAUCUUGGUCGGUUCAUACAAGACUAGUUUGGUGCCUUUGUAAAAUAUUUGGAAAUUGACUUUGAUAGGUUUGGUUUCUAUACAUUGUAAUGGUUGGUUCUACCCAAGAACCAAACUUGUCGAGGCUCUGGUCAAAACCAACACAAAAUUUGGGAACUUUUUUGCAUGACUACCUCUCUCUCUCUCUCUCUCUCUCUCUCUCUC